AGGGAUGCAAAACUGCGAAGUGGAGCGAACCCCAAAAGCCGUCUCAGUUCGGAUCGCAGGCUGCAACCCGCCUGCGUGAAGUCGGAAUCGCUAGUAAUCGCGGAUCAGCAUGCCGCGGUGAAUACGUUCCCGGGCCUUGUACACACCGCCCGUCACACCAUGAGAGUCGGGAACACCCGAAGCCCGUAGCCUAACUUGCAAGAGAGGGCGCGGUCGAAGGUGGGUUCGAUAAUUGGGGUGAAGUCGUAACAAGGUAUC
This 258-nucleotide ribosomal RNA is filed under the name uncultured bacterium. RNAcentral's name for it is "partial 16S ribosomal RNA". It matches the Rfam family "Bacterial small subunit ribosomal RNA", at positions 1243 to 1500 of the family's 1533-position model. The record is from RNAcentral.